AGAGUUUGAGUCCUGGCGUCAGGAUGAACGACUGACAGAAUAGCUUAACACAUGCAAGUCUUUGGCGAAUCUGUGCUUGCACAGGCUAGCCAAGGCGGACGGGUGAGUAACGCGUAAGAACUUGCCUGCAGACAGGGAUAACAGACGGAAACGAACUGACAACACCUGAUACAGUUGCCGGCACGCAUGUGCCUGGCAAUGAAAAGAGAUGCUGCGGGAGAGCUUUGCGUCCUAUUAGCUUGUUGGCGGGGUAACGGCCCACCAAGGCGAUGAUAGGUAGCCGGCCUGAGAGGGUGAACGGCCACAAGGGGACUGAGAUACGGCCCUUACUCCUACGGGAGGCAGCAGUGGGGAAUAUUGGACAAUGGGGGCAACCCUGAUCCAGCAAUUCUGUGUGCACGAGGAAGGUUUUCGGAUUGUAAAGUGCUUUCAGCAGGGAAGAAGGAAGUGACGGUACCUGCAGAAGAAGCGACGGCUAAAUACGUG
Molecule: ribosomal RNA, 486 nt
Filed under: uncultured Leptotrichia sp.
Lineage: Bacteria; Fusobacteriati; Fusobacteriota; Fusobacteriia; Fusobacteriales; Leptotrichiaceae
Description: bacterial SSU rRNA
Rfam family: Bacterial small subunit ribosomal RNA
Source: RNAcentral